GACGAACGCUGGCGGCGUGCCUAAUACAUGCAAGUUGAACGCAACAAAGACACCAGAGCUUGCUCUACCGUCUUUGUUGAGUAGCGAACGGGUGAGUAACGCGUGGGUAACCUGCCUUAUAGCGGGGGAUAACUAUUGGAAACGAUAGCUAAUACCGCAUAAACAAUAGAGAUUGCAUAAAUCUUUAUUGAAAGUGCCAACUGGUACACUAUGAGAUGGACCCGCGUUGUAUUAGCUAGUUGGUAGUGUAAUGGACUACAAGGCGAUGAUACAUAGCGACCU
This 282-nucleotide ribosomal RNA is filed under the name uncultured bacterium. RNAcentral describes it as "partial 16S ribosomal RNA". It matches the Rfam family "Bacterial small subunit ribosomal RNA", at positions 28 to 292 of the family's 1533-position model. The record is from RNAcentral.